This 184-nucleotide ribosomal RNA is filed under the name uncultured bacterium. RNAcentral's name for it is "partial 16S ribosomal RNA". The record is from RNAcentral.
AUUACCGCGGCUGCUGGCACGAAGUUAGCCGGUGCUUAUUCUUUGGGUACCGUCAUCCCAGCCGGGUAUUAGCCAGCUGGAUUUCUUUCCCAACAAAAGGGCUUUACAACCCGAAGGCCUUCUUCACCCACGCGGUAUGGCUGGAUCAGGCUUGCGCCCAUUGUCCAAUAUUCCCCACUGCUGC